This 285-nucleotide ribosomal RNA is filed under the name Triticum aestivum (bread wheat). RNAcentral describes it as "partial small subunit ribosomal RNA". The record is from RNAcentral. Lineage: Eukaryota; Viridiplantae; Streptophyta; Magnoliopsida; Poales; Poaceae.
CUUAAAGUCAAAGAUAUCUAUUUGGUAGGUAGAAAGAUCCAUUUGGAAUCUGGUGACCUUGUUAGAGUCUGGAAAGAUUCCAUAAACGGGUUGAGUCCUUUUCAGACCCUCUACCCUUCGUUGUUUGAGAUCUGCAAUAAUCAGGAUUGCACUAUUGCUAAUUUCAAGUCUGUGGACGUCCAUUCUUUCUUUAGAAGGAGACUCACUCCUGAAUUAUCCCGUCAAUGGGAGGAAAUAAACAAAACGAUCAAUAAUAUCCAGCUAAGUCAGGGUGGGGACCGGGUC